Molecule: ribosomal RNA, 387 nt
Filed under: uncultured bacterium
Lineage: Bacteria
Description: bacterial SSU rRNA
Rfam family: Bacterial small subunit ribosomal RNA
Source: RNAcentral
GACGAACGCUGGCGGCGUGCUUAACACAUGCAAGUCGAGCGGUAAGGCCCUUUCGGGGGUACACGAGCGGCGAACGGGUGAGUAACACGUGGGUGACCUGCCCUCAGCUCUGGGAUAAGCCUGGGAAACCGGGUCUAAUACUGGAUAUGACUCCAUGACGCAUGUUGUGGGGUGGAAAGCCUUGUGCGGCUGAGGAUGGGCCCGCGGCCUAUCAGCUUGUUGGUGGGGUGANGGCCUACCAAGGCGACGACGGGUAGCCGGCCUGAGAGGGCGACCGGCCACACUGGGACUGAGACACGGCCCAGACUCCUACGGGAGGCAGCAGUGGGGAAUCUUGCGCAGUGGGCGAAAGCCUGACGCAGCGACGCCGCGUGAGGGAUGACGGCC